CAAGCGUUGUUCGGAAUUACUGGGCGUAAAGGGCGCGUAGGCGGCCUUCUAAGUCAGACGUGAAAUCCCCCGGCUUAACCUGGGAACUGCGUCUGAUACUGGGAGGCUUGAGUAUGGGAGAGGGAUGUAGAAUUCCAGGUGUAGCGGUGAAAUGCGUAGAUAUCUGGAGGAAUACCGGUGGCGAAGGCGGCAUCCUGGACCAUAACUGACGCUGAGGCGCGAAAGCUAGGGGAGCAAACGGG
This 242-nucleotide ribosomal RNA is filed under the name uncultured bacterium. RNAcentral's name for it is "partial 16S ribosomal RNA". It matches the Rfam family "Bacterial small subunit ribosomal RNA", at positions 535 to 776 of the family's 1533-position model. The record is from RNAcentral.